UCACCAUGGCAACCCUUCCUCAGUGCAAACAAAGCCACCCCAAACAAAAGUUCUGCACGGCCCCACCCACUGCAGCAUCACUGCCCUGUGCUUCUGUUGCUGCUCAAUCUUGCCAAAUCAACCAAGGCUGCUCGAUAACCCAAAGCCUCCCUCCCCAUCCCCACAGGCCCCAGCUCGUGAUGCCCUGUGCCACCAGCCACACAGGUCCACCACAGAGAUGAGUGCCUGAAUGAACCUCGACCUGACUGCUUUGGUACACAGCAGAGGGCCUUGAUACCAAGCGGGGCUGCGUUAUUCAUAUGGUAGUAGCACCAAGGAGGAGAAAAAGAAGAUGACAACAAAUCGCUUUCCGUGAAGCCUAUGAGCGCUGGUAACAUUGGGAGGAGCGGGCUGUCACCACAUCUCUGCAGGACAGAGAAGGGCCACAAAGAAUUGUUCCAGCCAGCAGCUGUGCUUACUGCUUUAUCAGACCCGGACACACGCAAGCUCACUGCUAUCAGCUUAAAAACACACCGAGCUGGCGGGCUGCUCCCUGGAAGAUGAGAAGACCAGCGUAACAAGAGCGGCAAUGCUCCCUCCAAACCGGUGCUACGGGCCCAGGGCCACCUGGGGAUCCACACAAAUGCAGUCUGGACCAUCUGCUGCUGCACCUUUGCUACUGAUUAAUAGAGGCAGAGAGAGACAACGAAGAACCCUCAGCUCCACCAGUUCCUGUUGCACUUCCCUCUCCCACACGUGCAUUUGGUUCACUCCGAAUGAGAAGUAGUAAGCAGCCUUUAGAGUGCCACAAAGAAGAAUGUAAAGCAGUAAACAACUUAUCAACUAUCUCUCCUUCAUCCUCUUACCUAUUGCUACUAAAACGCCACGGCAGGAGUUCCUCCUGCAAACGCUUUCUAAGAACACAAUGGAACCACAGUCAGAGGAUCAGUUACUCUUCCCUUCAAUAGAUCACCCAAUACCUACACCAAGAAUCACUCCGUAGCAGAUCAGCUGCCUUUAGCAAAGGCAUACACUAUCAAGAGAAGAAACAAAGCAAAUGAUGGUAGCAUCCCUGCAUAAUUCAGGCGGGAAGGAACUUCAGCAGCUCCAACCCACAUCUCCCUGCAGGGUCAACCAGGGCCUCACACCAGGCUGCCCAGGCCUUCACCCACUUUGAUCCCAAGAGCCUCUGACAAUGGAGAUAACGCAGCCCCCACAGGCAAGCUGUUUCAAUGCUCCACUGUCCACAUACAGAAGCAGCCCCCCCGCCAGGUCUGAGCAGAAUCCCUUCUAGUUUCGGAGGCCUCUUGCCUCCUCCAGUCCCCCCACCUCUGUGAAAAGCCAUCCCAUAGGUGGGGGAAGGCUAGGGCUGAGCCCUGCUCACGCUCCUCCACAGAAAGCAAGCUCAGGGCAGACAGAAUGCACCUCAAUGAGAGGGUAAGAACGCAAGAAAUGAUUCUAAAUACAACCUGGAAAUAAUUAAGUCUGGGUAUGUGCACAGCUGAAAAAUGGAAAGUGAGAAAGGCGUGACAAGGAGCAGACAGUUUCCUCCUGAAAAAUAGGGAAAGUCAUUUUUUCUCUUCUCAGUUUUGUUUUUUUCCUCUCCUCCAACUUCAUUAAAACAAAUUAAUGCAGGAAUUAUGCCAACCUGAAGUGUAUUUUGGUGCUUACAGACGUUAGCAAGUACAGGGACACUAGUAAAUAAAUGGAUGGGGGGGGGGGGGGAGGUGGUUCUGGAAAGGCUUUCCCUGUGCCCAGUUUGAUGCUUACCCUACCUGCAAUCUGACAAUCCACAAGUCACAGAAGCACCCUAGAUGAUUUUCAAAUAGAUGGGCACAUAUUAUUAUUUUAUAUAUAACUGGAUAAGACAACAACGUUUUGCUGCUCAGUGAUAGCAACAGCGCUACGCAUCAGGCCGUUUUUUUCCCACGGUAUUCUUGAUGAAAUCCAAAAAACAGAAUAGAAAUAAACACACAAGGCUGAAGUCCUUGCUCUGUUCCCCAGGAGGAGCUCCAGAACAGCCACCUUCAGCAAUGGAGUGGGCAUGGGGCAGAAUGACACAGCUGCUCCAUGUCUUUCCUCACCUUCUAGGCAGAACAACAAUGUUUAAUCUCCAAGAAACAGCAGACUGUCAGAUGUUCCCAUCUGUCCAUCUCUGUGACUAUUACGACAGCUGUUUCAGGUUAAGAGAAAACCAAAAGCUAUUUUUUUCAAGCUACGGAAGACAAACAUUACAUUUUUCUCCAGCAGACAAUUACUCAAAAUUUAAUCAGGUUUAUUCGUGGAAAGACCCGAAGUAAUAUUCAGUUUUAUUCCUGCAAGGUCUUCUACCAACAACUGCAGUCUGACCCCUUUGUUCACAAUUCAGUUUGGCCCAUCCAAAAACAAUUCCAGUUGCACGUUUGUCCAAGUGGCCAAUGGCAUGAGUAACCUGAAGGAGGCAGCACAAAGCACCCCUGAAAACACAGCGCUGUGGACUUACUGAGGUGCUAAAUGCAAGAGGACCUAGGUAACAGCUGCAUUGUAUUACCCCACUGUAGGUUUUGUCACAGAAUUCCCUAAUUACUGGCUGACACCAUUCAAAACACAGAAGAUUUUCUCCAGCACGCUUUACGAUCAACAAGCUUUGCAGGCGUGUAAGCACAGCUUGUUAAACCUCAUCUCCGCACCAAUGGUCUCAGAUCUUAAGCUCCAGAUUUGCAACAUAUGCCUGGAAAAAAGAAGGAAGAAAAACACAACACCCACAACCACAGAACUUUUCCUAUUGCACCUACCUACCUCGCGCUUCCACAACCACCCAUUUUCUCUCCUCUUUUGCUUCCUGCAAGCUCACGGUAUCAUAGAAUCAUGAAAUGGCUUGGGUUGGAAGGGACCUCAAGGAUCAUCAAGUUCCACCCCCCUGCCACGGGCAGGGCCGCCAAC
Molecule: long non-coding RNA, 2901 nt
Organism: Numida meleagris (helmeted guineafowl)
Lineage: Eukaryota; Metazoa; Chordata; Aves; Galliformes; Numididae
Exons: 3
Source: RefSeq, a predicted model, not a curated record